GGGCCCGUAGCCUAGCCAGGAUAGGGCGCCGGCCUCCGGAGCCGGAGGUCCCGGGUUCAAAUCCCGGCGGGCCCGCCA
Molecule: transfer RNA, 78 nt
Filed under: Desulfurococcales archaeon
Lineage: Archaea; Thermoproteati; Thermoproteota; Thermoprotei; Desulfurococcales
Description: tRNA-Arg
Rfam family: tRNA
About the family: Transfer RNA (tRNA) molecules are approximately 80 nucleotides in length. Their secondary structure includes four short double-helical elements and three loops (D, anti-codon, and T loops).
Source: RNAcentral